ACGCUGGCGGCAUGCCUAACACAUGCAAGUCGAACGAAGGCUUCGGCCUUAGUGGCGCACGGGUGCGUAACGCGUGGGAAUCUGCCCCUUGGUUCGGAAUAACAGUUGGAAACGACUGCUAAUACCGGAUGAUGACGUAAGUCCAAAGAUUUAUCGCCGAGGGAUGAGCCCGCGUAGGAUUAGGUAGUUGGUGUGGUAAAGGCGCACCAAGCCGACGAUCCUUAGCUGGUCUGAGAGGAUGAUCAGCCACACUGGGACUGAGACACGGCCCAGACUCCUACGGGAGGCAGCAGUGGGGAAUAUUGGACAAUGGGCGAAAGCCUGAUCCAGCAAUGCCGCGUGAGUGAUGAAGGCCUUAGGGUUGUAAAGCUCUUUUACCCGGGAUGAUAAUGACAGUACCGGGAGAAUAAGCUCCGACUAACUCCGUGCCAGCAGCCGCGGUAAUACGGAGGGAGCUAGCGUUAUUCGGAAUUACUGGGCGUAAAGCGCACGUAGGCGGCUUUGUAAGUAAGAGGUGAAAGCCCAGAGCUCAACUCUGGAAUUGCCUUUUAGACUGCAUCGCUUGAAUCAUGGAGAGGUCAGUGGAACUCCGAGUGUAGAGGUGAAAUUCGUAGAUAUUCGGAAGAACACCAGUCGCGAAGGCGGCUGACUGGACAUGUAUUGACGCUGAGGUGCGAAAGCGUGGGGAGCAAAC
This 694-nucleotide ribosomal RNA is filed under the name uncultured bacterium. RNAcentral's name for it is "bacterial SSU rRNA". It matches the Rfam family "Bacterial small subunit ribosomal RNA", at positions 33 to 773 of the family's 1533-position model. The record is from RNAcentral.